CGGGACACGUGGUAUCCUGUCUGAAUAUGGGGGGACCAUCCUCCAAGGCUAAAUACUCCUGACUGACCGAUAGUGAACCAGUACCGUGAGGGAAAGGCGAAAAGAACCCCGGCGAGGGGAGUGAAAAAGAACCUGAAACCGUGUACGUACAAGCAGUGGGAGCCUCUUAAUGGGGUGACUGCGUACCUUUUGUAUAAUGGGUCAGCGACUUAUAUUCUGUAGCAAGGUUAACCGAAUAGGGGAGCCGAAGGGAAACCGAGUCUUAACUGGGCGUUAAGUUGCAGGGUAUAGACCCGAAACCCGGUGAUCUAGCCAUGGGCAGGUUGAAGGUUGGGUAACACUAACUGGAGGACCGAACCGACUAAUGUUGAAAAAUUAGCGGAUGACUUGUGGCUGGGGGUGAAAGGCCAAUCAAACCGGGAGAUAGCUGGUUCUCCCCGAAAGCUAUUUAGGUAGCGCCUCGUGAAUUCAUCUCCGGGGGUAGAGCACUGUUUCGGCAAGGGGGUCAUCCCGACUUACCAACCCGAUGCAAACUGCGAAUACCGGAGAAUGUUAUCACGGGAGACACACGGCGGGUGCUAACGUCCGUCGUGAAGAGGGAAACAACCCAGACCGCCAGCUAAGGUCCCAAAGUCAUGGUUAAGUGGGAAACGAUGUGGGAAGGCCCAGACAGCCAGGAUGUUGGCUUAGAAGCAGCCAUCAUUUAAAGAAAGCGUAAUAGCUCACUGGUCGAGUCGGCCUGCGCG
This 746-nucleotide ribosomal RNA is filed under the name Escherichia coli. Its description in RNAcentral is "partial 23S ribosomal RNA". It matches the Rfam family "Bacterial large subunit ribosomal RNA", at positions 418 to 1165 of the family's 2925-position model. The record is from RNAcentral. Lineage: Bacteria; Pseudomonadati; Pseudomonadota; Gammaproteobacteria; Enterobacterales; Enterobacteriaceae.